AUGCACAGUUAAAUUUAACAAUUGCAUUGGAACUAGGUUUUAGAGUUUCAGAAAUCGCACAGAAAACGUCUUGCGUCGCAUUUUCAAAAGAUGAACGCCUUGAAUAAUGGUUCCAGUCAAGGUGGAAGACAAUACGCUGACAUGGAAUAUGAAAUUAAAAAACUUCAAGAUGAAAAUAGUACAAUGAAGAAAAUGUUAGGAGUAACGGUAUGUUUUUCUUCAAGAGUCUCUCAUAAAAUAUCUUUCCUUGCCACUGAUGUUUCGUAAGUAUGAAUUGAAAAUAUCGAAAUAUAUGGCUGGGUCUUUACUACAUUUUUUUAAUCGCACAGAACGGAGAAGCAAAAGACAGGCCAAAUGUGUCAAGGUGAAAAAGCCAUAACCAAU
This is a long non-coding RNA of Xenia sp. Carnegie-2017, 384 nucleotides long. RefSeq lists it as uncharacterized. The transcript is spliced from 2 exons. Lineage: Eukaryota; Metazoa; Cnidaria; Anthozoa; Malacalcyonacea; Xeniidae. The record is from RefSeq and is a predicted model, not a curated record.